Molecule: ribosomal RNA, 535 nt
Filed under: uncultured bacterium
Lineage: Bacteria
Description: bacterial SSU rRNA
Rfam family: Bacterial small subunit ribosomal RNA
Source: RNAcentral
CGGCGGCCAGUCAGCUGUUGGUGGGGUGAUGGCCGUACCAAGGCGGUGACGGGGUAGCCGGGCCUGAGAGGGUGGACGGGUCACACUGGGGACUGAGACACGGCCCAGACUCCUACGGGAGGCAGCAGUGGGGGAAUAUUGCACAAUGGGGCGCAAGCCUGAUGCAGCGACGCCGCGUGAGGGAUCGGAGGCCUUCGGGUUGUAAACCUCUUUCGCCAGUGAAGCAGGCCUGCUCCUUGUGGGUGGGUUGACGGUAGCUGGAUAAGAAGCGCCGGCUAACUACCGUGCCAGUCAGCCGCGGUAAUACGUAGGGCGCGAGCGUUGUCCGGAAUUAUUGGGCGUAAAGAGCUCGUAGGCGGCUAGGUCGCGUCUGUCGUGAAAUCCUCUGGCUUUAAACUGGGGGCUUGCGGUGGGUACGGGCCGGCUUGAGUGCGGUAGGGGAGACUGGAACUCCUGGUGUAGCGGUGGAAUGCGCAGAUAUCAGGAAGAACACCGGUGGCGAAGGCGGGUCUCUGGGCCGUUACUGACGCGUGAG